This 371-nucleotide ribosomal RNA is filed under the name uncultured organism. Its description in RNAcentral is "bacterial SSU rRNA". It matches the Rfam family "Bacterial small subunit ribosomal RNA", at positions 527 to 896 of the family's 1533-position model. The record is from RNAcentral.
GUGGGGUGCGAGCGUUAAUCGGAAUUACUGGGCGUAAAGCGUGCGCAGGCGGUUUUGUAAGACAGGCGUGAAAUCCCCGGGCUCAACCUGGGAACUGCGCUUGUGACUGCAAGGCUAGAGUACGGCAGAGGGGGGUGGAAUUCCACGUGUAGCAGUGAAAUGCGUAGAGAUGUGGAGGAACACCAAUGGCGAAGGCAGCCCCCUGGGUCGAUACUGACGCUCAUGCACGAAAGCGUGGGUAGCAAACAGGAUUAGAUACCCUGGUAGUCCACGCCCUAAACGAUGUCAACUAGGUGUUGGGUGGGUAAAACCAUUUAGUACCGGAGCUAACGCGUGAAGUUGACCGCCUGGGGAGUACGGCCGCAAGGUUA